This 983-nucleotide ribosomal RNA is filed under the name Salmonella enterica. Its description in RNAcentral is "partial 23S ribosomal RNA". It matches the Rfam family "Bacterial large subunit ribosomal RNA", at positions 1176 to 2141 of the family's 2925-position model. Lineage: Bacteria; Pseudomonadati; Pseudomonadota; Gammaproteobacteria; Enterobacterales; Enterobacteriaceae. The record is from RNAcentral.
CGACGUCAAAGCGUUCAUUAAAGUCGAGUUGGCUUAGGGAUACGUUCGUUGGGUAGGGGAGCGUUCUGUAAGCCGUUGAAGGUGGCCUGUGAGGGUUGCUGGAGGUAUCAGAAGUGCGAAUGCUGACAUAAGUAACGAUAAAGCGGGUGAAAAGCCCGCUCGCCGGAAGACCAAGGGUUCCUGUCCAACGUUAAUCGGGGCAGGGUGAGUCGACCCCUAAGGCGAGGCCGAAAGGCGUAGUCGAUGGGAAACGGGUUAAUAUUCCCGUACUUGGUGUUACUGCGAAGGGGGGACGGAGAAGGCUAUGUUGGCCGGGCGACGGUUGUCCCGGUUUAAGCGUGUAGGUGUGUGUUCCAGGUAAAUCCGGUUCACUUUAACACUGAGGCGUGACGACGAGGCACUACGGUGCUGAAGCAACAAAUGCCCUGCUUCCAGGAAAAGCCUCUAAGCAUCAGGUAACAUCAAAUCGUACCCCAAACCGACACAGGUGGUCAGGUAGAGAAUACCAAGGCGCUUGAGAGAACUCGGGUGAAGGAACUAGGCAAAAUGGUGCCGUAACUUCGGGAGAAGGCACGCUGACACGUAGGUGAAGUGAUUUACUCAUGGAGCUGAAGUCAGUCGAAGAUACCAGCUGGCUGCAACUGUUUAUUAAAAACACAGCACUGUGCAAACACGAAAGUGGACGUAUACGGUGUGACGCCUGCCCGGUGCCGGAAGGUUAAUUGAUGGGGUCAGCGCAAGCGAAGCUCCUGAUCGAAGCCCCGGUAAACGGCGGCCGUAACUAUAACGGUCCUAAGGUAGCGAAAUUCCUUGUCGGGUAAGUUCCGACCUGCACGAAUGGCGUAAUGAUGGCCAGGCUGUCUCCACCCGAGACUCAGUGAAAUUGAACUCGCUGUGAAGAUGCAGUGUACCCGCGGCAAGACGGAAAGACCCCGUGAACCUUUACUAUAGCUUGACACUGAACAUUGAGCCUUGAUGUGUAG